UACGGAGGAUCCGAGCGUUAUCCGGAUUUAUUGGGUUUAAAGGGUGCGCAGGCGGGAGAUUAAGUCGGCGGUGAAAUUCUGCAGCUCAACUGUAAAAGUGCCUUCGAAACUGGUUUCCUUGAGUGUAGAUGAAGUAGGCGGAAUUUGUGGUGUAGCGGUGAAAUGCAUAGAUAUCACGAGGAACUCCGAUUGCGCAGGCAGCUUACUAAACCAUAACUGACGCUCAGGCACGAAGGCGUGGGGAUCAAACAGGAUUAGAUACCCU
Molecule: ribosomal RNA, 265 nt
Filed under: uncultured prokaryote
Description: partial 16S ribosomal RNA
Rfam family: Bacterial small subunit ribosomal RNA
Source: RNAcentral